UACCAAGCUACCUGACACAGUAGGCUUGCUUUUUCCACGUGAGGGAAUAGGCAGCAUUUGUCCUGAGGUAUUUCUUCAACGCAUCACUUGGCCAGCAGAGGAGGAUGAUGAAGAUGAUGAUUGGUCAGGUGAAACCAAAUGCCGCAUCUCAGGGUAUCUUCGAGAGUUCAUUACAAAUGGAACAACAACAGAUCUGAUGAACCUGGUCAAAUUCUGGACCGGAUGGGAGAUUCUUCCAACAACUCUCUCUGUGGAGAUAGUCAAAGGUAGAUAUCCCACAGCCUCCACCUGCUACGAGACCUUGCGAAUUCCUGGACACUACAAGGAUUACAUGUCUUUUAAGAGUGAUAUCCUUGCCUGUAUCAGCACUUGCAGUACAGGAUUUGGUCUUGUGUGAGCUCAAAAUUUUGUUUGUUCUCUGUUUUCCCAAAAAGAUUGUUGCAUUAAGAAUUCUGGAGUAGCAUAUUGUUAACAUGGUGUUAUUUGUUAAACAGUUCUUUCAAGUAGAUUGAGUUUAAAAUGUUCUAUGACGUGAACUACAACUUUAAAAGUAGCAUUCAUAUUUAAAAAGCCAAGGAAAACUUGUUCAUAACCUUACUUUGUCUAAUGUAAAACUGAAUAAGAAUGCAUGUUUAACAUAACUGUUUACAAUGUUUGCUUACAGUAUGCAAUAAGAAAAUACAAACUGGAGUUAAGUGAAUCUCACUGAACUAUAGUGUCAAAAAAUGUGAGAAAU
Melanotaenia boesemani (Boeseman's rainbowfish) is the source of this 736-nucleotide long non-coding RNA. RefSeq lists it as uncharacterized. The record is from RefSeq and is a predicted model, not a curated record. Lineage: Eukaryota; Metazoa; Chordata; Actinopteri; Atheriniformes; Melanotaeniidae. The transcript is spliced from 3 exons.